Molecule: ribosomal RNA, 263 nt
Filed under: uncultured bacterium
Lineage: Bacteria
Description: partial 16S ribosomal RNA
Rfam family: Bacterial small subunit ribosomal RNA
Source: RNAcentral
CACGUAGGGGGCGAGCGUUGUUCGGAAUUAUUGGGCGUAAAGGGUGCGCAGGCUGCAUAGGUAGUCUGAUGUAAAAUGUCUCGGCUUAACCGAGGCCUGCCAUUGGAAACUGCUAUGCUAGAGUACAGGAGGGGGAGUUGGAAUUCCAGGUGUAGGGGUGAAAUCUGUAGAUAUCUGGAGGAACAUCGGUGGCGAAGGCGAACUUCUGGCCAUGUACUGACGCUGAGGCACGAAGGCGUGGGGAGCAAACAGGUUUAGAUACC